CUUUUAUGAGUAGGAAUGUGCCAAAUAUGGUAAAAGCAUUACUAGAGAAGAGAUGGAGGAUUGUUGUUUAAAUGGAAAGCUAUACAAUCGCAUCAAUGAUUUACCAGGUACAUGGAGCCAGAGAGAGUAUAGAUGCGAAGGAAUGUGCCAAUGAUUGGUAGAUGCAAUUGUAUCUGUUCUUCUCUCCCUCCAUGUAAAGAACUGGUCGCACCGUCCUAUUGCUGCACGAUGGUUCUUAAAUUUAAUUUGGAAAUACAGCCCUCAAUUUCAAGAAGAUCGAAAGCACAAGGACGCCGCAGAACCUGAAUGUUAGGUGCAGGCCUGUCAAAAAACUUCUCAUUUUCCAAGUCCACAGAGAUUAUCUUCGUUGAAUGCUCAGUGAAGAUAUCUCCAUGCCAAUGGAAAUUGAAUGCCUGGAACAAUAAAGCCAUCGAAAGGGUUCUUCAAUUGCUCUCCAUGUUCUGGAGCCUCUGUCAAUACUUUCGGGGGUACGAUGUCUUGUAUUCUAUCUGUGGAAAAAGUGGGCUGAUUUUUAUAGUACAUUAUGUUUCUUGUAACUUUGUAGACCCUUUGUAAUGCCAAUAUUUGUAUCAAGGAACAAGUGAAGAGAGAUCUGAGGAUCACAAAGCCCUAUCCGAGUCCUGGGAAUGGUGUUAAGAAACCAAAGUACUGAGACAGUGAUGGUGGAUUUAUAUGUCAAUGCCUAGCGUCCUCACUUUAAUGAAUUUUUUCCUACAGCUUUGAAUGAACCAAAAUGCAGUAAUUGUGAAGACAGUCACAGUGGCAGAGAAGAUAAGUUCCCUAAGGCAUUGCUGUUUGAUCUCAACCUUGAACCUCCUAAUGAAGAGGUUACCAAUAGAGAGGAAAAACCAUCCUAGAGUAUAUUCCUCACAUUGAUAAUGAUGCUGUGUAUCUGAAAGGAUUGAUUUUUGUUUAUUAGGAGGAUUCCCCGUUGAUUGCAAUGCCGAACAUGGGAGGAACUAUCUAAUUUCUUUGUUUGUGAUUUGACUUGUUUUACAAGUUUUUUCUUGUAUUCUAUUUUUUUCUUUUCCUUCUUAAUACAAUUGAUCUUUUAAUGGCAAUAAAAAUUGAGUGUGUCUUGACUUUUGUCAACCAAAGGCAUAAGAUCUUU
Long non-coding RNA from Macadamia integrifolia, 1132 nucleotides. RefSeq lists it as uncharacterized. Lineage: Eukaryota; Viridiplantae; Streptophyta; Magnoliopsida; Proteales; Proteaceae. The transcript is spliced from 3 exons. The record is from RefSeq and is a predicted model, not a curated record.